CCAGCAUCCCUCGCGCUAUCCGGUUGCUCUUCUCCCGCGUCUCUAUGAUAGAGCCGGCCUGGGAGGCUGCAGCGGCGGUGGGGGCUGUGGUAAGGCGAAGUGAGAGGUCCAGCUUUCUUACUGGACUGAGAGGUUUUGGCCGCGGAGGGUCGCGAUGUCAGAGAAAAAACAGCCGGUAGACUUGGGUCUGCUGGAGGAGGACGACGAGUUCGAGGAGUUCCCUGCAGAAGACUGGGCUGGUUUAGAUGAAGAUGAAGAUGCACAUGUCUGGGAGGAUAAUUGGGAUGAUGACAAUGUAGAGGAUGACUUCUCCAAUCAGUUACGAGCUGAACUAGAGAAACAUGGUUAUAAGAUGGAGACAUCAUAGCAUCCAGAAGUGCUGAAGCAACCUAAACUUGAACUGUUUACUAAAUUCUAGAGCAGAGAACCCAGGAUGGGACACUUAAAAAAUGUUUAUUUCAUUACCUCCUUGGAUUUAUUUUUGUUUUUGUAACACACAAAAUAAAUGUUUUGAUCUAA
Molecule: long non-coding RNA, 519 nt
Organism: Aethalodelphis obliquidens (Pacific white-sided dolphin)
Lineage: Eukaryota; Metazoa; Chordata; Mammalia; Artiodactyla; Delphinidae
Exons: 3
Source: RefSeq, a predicted model, not a curated record